UUAAGUAAGUGGUGUUGACGUUUGGGUCCUGCGCAACGGGACCCCGUGAACCUUGUCAGGUCCGGAAGGAAGCAGCAAUAAGCGGGUCUUCUCGUGUGCCGCAGGAGUGCCUGAACCGAGCUAACUGCUUGAGUAACGCUUAUGGUACGUAAUCGACAGAAGGUGCACGG
This 170-nucleotide signal recognition particle RNA is filed under the name Bacillus wiedmannii. Its description in RNAcentral is "partial signal recognition particle sRNA large type". It matches the Rfam family "Bacterial large signal recognition particle RNA", at positions 93 to 256 of the family's 256-position model. Rfam says of the family: The signal recognition particle (SRP) is a universally conserved ribonucleoprotein involved in the co-translational targeting of proteins to membranes. Archaeal SRP consists of a 7S RNA and homologues of the eukaryotic SRP19 and SRP54 proteins. In most bacteria, the SRP consists of a 4.5S RNA and the Ffh protein (a homologue of the eukaryotic SRP54 protein). Lineage: Bacteria; Bacillati; Bacillota; Bacilli; Caryophanales; Bacillaceae. The record is from RNAcentral.